ACCUUAGUAUUCAUGUACUCCUCAAAUCUGACACAAAACCCACAGGUGUAAAAAGCACCGAGACCCCCGACACAGGUUUCUCUGAAGACACGGAACAUGAAACCACACACACAGAGAACACCCCCUCACGCGUCCAUCAACACAUAUCUCUUAUUUACGACCGCAACUGCCCAGGCAGCAAGUACAGAUUAAUUUCAUGCUCCACUCCAUUCCUAAGUCAUAAUCACAGAAUAUUCUGAGUUGAAAUGGACCCACAAUGAUCAUCAAAGCCCAGCUCUUGGCCCUGCAGAGGACACCCCAAGAGUCGCAGCAUGAGCCUGAAAGCAUUGUCCAAAUCUUGAGCAUCUUGAAAUCUGUCAGGCUUGAGCAUCUUGAAAUCUGUCAGUGCUGAGACCACUUCCCUAGGGAGCCUGUUCCAGUGCCCAGCCAUCCUCUAGAGGUCUUGAACAAAGCCUGAAGCCCACAAGGACUCAGCCCUACCUGACUACCAGCAGUUUAUUUCAUAACACACCGCAAAAGAGAAGGAAGAGAGCAAAAUUAUAUCCCUGCUUGUUAUUUUAUGAGUAAAGUUCUGACUUUGCACCCAGCAAAGUGCUUGGAAAAUUACAGCUACUGCUGGGGAAACAUUAUCUUGUUCAGCCAGCAAGUAAGAGUUGCUGCAGACAACAGAUGGGAUUUCACAAGGGAGAUCAACAGUUGUUCCAGCACACUCUUCAGGAAAGCUACCUUCCCUCUAAGGAUCACAGGCAACCACCCACACAGAAAUGGAAAAGUAGUUCGGCUCCAAUGGCAAGGAAAA
Vidua chalybeata is the source of this 799-nucleotide long non-coding RNA. RefSeq lists it as uncharacterized. The record is from RefSeq and is a predicted model, not a curated record. NCBI's taxonomy places the organism in Eukaryota, Metazoa, Chordata, Aves, Passeriformes, Viduidae. The transcript has 3 exons.